This 1434-nucleotide ribosomal RNA is filed under the name uncultured bacterium. RNAcentral's name for it is "bacterial SSU rRNA". It matches the Rfam family "Bacterial small subunit ribosomal RNA". The record is from RNAcentral.
GGCAGGCUUAACACAUGCAAGUCGAGCGGUAACAGGAGAAGCUUGCUUCUCGCUGACGAGCGGCGGACGGGUGAGUAAUACUUAGGAAUCUGCCCAGUAGUGGGGGAUAGCUCGGGGAAACUCGAAUUAAUACCGCAUACACCCUACGGGGAAAAGGGGGCGCUUGCGCUCUCGCUAUUGGAUGAGCCUAAGUCGGAUUAGCUAGUUGGUGGGGUAAAGGCCUACCAAGGCGACGAUCUGUAGCUGGUCUGAGAGGAUGAUCAGCCACACCGGGACUGAGACACGGCCCGGACUCCUACGGGAGGCAGCAGUGGGGAAUAUUGGACAAUGGGGGCAACCCUGAUCCAGCCAUGCCGCGUGUGUGAAGAAGGCCUUUUGGUUGUAAAGCACUUUAAGCAGUGAAGAAGACCUAACGGUUAAUACCCGUUAGCGAUGACAUUAGCUGCAGAAUAAGCACCGGCUAACUCUGUGCCAGCAGCCGCGGUAAUACAGAGGGUGCAAGCGUUAAUCGGAAUUACUGGGCGUAAAGCGAGCGUAGGUGGCUUGAUAAGUCAGAUGUGAAAUCCCCGGGCUUAACCUGGGAACUGCAUCUGAUACUGUCAGGCUAGAGUAGGUGAGAGGGAGGUAGAAUUUCAGGUGUAGCGGUGAAAUGCGUAGAGAUCUGAAGGAAUACCGAUGGCGAAGGCAGCCUCCUGGCAUCAUACUGACACUGAGGUUCGAAAGCGUGGGUAGCAAACAGGAUUAGAUACCCUGGUAGUCCACGCCGUAAACGAUGUCUACUAGUCGUUGGGGAACUUGAUUCCUUAGUGACGCAGCUAACGCAAUAAGUAGACCGCCUGGGGAGUACGGCCGCAAGGUUAAAACUCAAAUGAAUUGACGGGGGCCCGCACAAGCGGUGGAGCAUGUGGUUUAAUUCGAUGCAACGCGAAGAACCUUACCUGGUCUUGACAUAUCUAGAAUCCUGCAGAGAUGCGGGAGUGCCUUCGGGAAUUAGAAUACAGGUGCUGCAUGGCUGUCGUCAGCUCGUGUCGUGAGAUGUUGGGUUAAGUCCCGCAACGAGCGCAACCCUUUUCCUUAGUUACCAGUGGUUUGGCCGGGGACUCUAAGGAUACUGCCAGUGACAAACUGGAGGAAGGCGGGGACGACGUCAAGUCAUCAUGGCCCUUACGACCAGGGCUACACACGUGCUACAAUGGUAGGUACAGAGGGCAGCUACACAGCGAUGUGAUGCGAAUCUCAAAAAGCCUAUCGUAGUCCAGAUUGGAGUCUGCAACUCGACUCCAUGAAGUAGGAAUCGCUAGUAAUCGCGGAUCAGAAUGCCGCGGUGAAUACGUUCCCGGGCCUUGUACACACCGCCCGUCACACCAUGGGAGUUGAUUGCACCAGAAGUGGGUAGCCUAACUUUUAGAGGGCGCUCACCACGGUGUGGUUGAU